RNAcentral lists this long non-coding RNA (1126 nucleotides) under Homo sapiens (human). RNAcentral describes it as "non-protein coding lnc-PPM1H-5:2". Lineage: Eukaryota; Metazoa; Chordata; Mammalia; Primates; Hominidae. The record is from RNAcentral.
AUGUACAGCCGACCACAGGCUGAGAAGGAGCAGGAAGCUGGGAAGCUGAGCCAGUGGCAGGCGGCGCACCAGGCUGCCCAGGAUAAGUAGAACUCAGCACCCAUCUUGAACAUGACUCAUCUUCUGGAAGCUCCGGAGUGCACACCUCUUGGAACCAUGGCCUACCAAGCAUUCAGCACUUUCCUCACAGGACAGAGAUGCCGAGGGCCCCCUUGUUGUCUGUUGAGGCAUCAGGGAAGAUUGUGGAUGAAGGGGGGCCACAGUUCAGUAUGCCACUGCCUGAGCAUGGCGUGAGCUACUGCCCCUAAGCGACUCCCACUCCUUUCCGGAUGAUUUACUGUCAGGGAGUGUCUCCCCCUCAGCAAGAGAUGAUGAUUUUCAGUGGGCCCCAGAUAAUGCCUGUAGGAGAGGCCAGUACUCCAAAGGUGGCCAGGGCCUUCAGGCUGCCAGUCUCAGCUUCCACUGGAAUUCCAGUGAUGUCUCAUAUUGGGGACCCUACAAUGCCUUACCCUGGCCUCUCGACAGUACCUUCUGAUGAAACAUUGUUGGCCUCGACCAUGCCUUCCACUGAGGCCCAGGCUAUGCCCCCUCCGUGGCUCAGAUGUUGCCCCCACAAGAUGCCCAUGAUCGUGGGAUGCCCCGAGCUGAGUCCCAGUCAUUGCUGGUUUUAGGAUCUCAGGACUCUCGUAAGUCAGCCAGACUCCCAAGCAGGCCCAUUCCUACCGGAGCAUCCCAGACCUGCUCCACAGACAGCAGAGCAGAACUCCAGGCCUCAGGAAAGGACUGGUAGACGGGGCUCCUCAGAGGCAAGGCCUUACUGCUGCAACUACGAGAACUGCGGAAAAGCUUAUACCAAACGCUCCUACCUUGUUAGCCACCAGUGCAAGCACAUGGGUGAGAGGCCCUAUUUGUGCAACGGGAAAGGUGUUUAUGGUCUUUCUUCCGUUCUAAUGAGCGUAGAUGACAUACGUGGGUACACACCAGACAUUGACCAUAUAAAUGUGAUCAGUGCAGCCAAGAGUUCAUGAGGUCUGACCAUCUCAAGCAACACCAGAAGACUCAUUGGCCAGGACCCUCAGACCCACGGGCCAACAAUGGACAGCAGGACGGUCCUGUUCCUGGUCCU